GCCUGGUGGUUACCCAAAGGCAGCUGUGCAGUGCUGGUCCUUGGGUUUAGAUGGUUGCAGGCAAACACAAAUCUCUGCGAUUUUAAGCAUGGGGGUUACAUUACCAGGUAGCUUCAAUAGCCCGGUUGCAAAGACAUUG
Molecule: small nucleolar RNA, 139 nt
Organism: Alosa sapidissima (American shad)
Lineage: Eukaryota; Metazoa; Chordata; Actinopteri; Clupeiformes; Clupeidae
Product: small nucleolar RNA SNORA84
Exons: 1
Source: RefSeq, a predicted model, not a curated record